GACGAACGCUGGCGGCGUGCUUAACACAUGCAAGUCGAGCGGUAAGGCCCUUUCGGGGGUACACGAGCGGCGAACGGGUGAGUAACACGUGGGUGACCUGCCCUCAGCCCUGGGAUAAGCCUGGGAAACUGGGUCUAAUACUGGAUAUGACUCCACGGUGCAUGUCGUGGGGUGGAAAGCCUUGUGCGGCUGAGGAUGGGCCCGCGGCCUAUCAGCUUGUUGGUGGGGUGANGGCCUACCAAGGCGACGACGGGUAGCCGGCCUGAGAGGGCGACCGGCCACACUGGGACUGAGACACGGCCCAGACUCCUACGGGAGGCAGCAGUGGGGAAUCUUGCGCAAUGGGCGAAAG
RNAcentral lists this ribosomal RNA (352 nucleotides) under uncultured bacterium. RNAcentral describes it as "bacterial SSU rRNA". It matches the Rfam family "Bacterial small subunit ribosomal RNA", at positions 28 to 381 of the family's 1533-position model. The record is from RNAcentral.